GACGAACGCUGGCGGCGUGCCUAAUACAUGCCAGUAGAACGCUGAAGGAAGGAGCUUGCUCUUUCUGGAUGAGUUGCGAACGGGUGAGUAACGCGUAGGUAACCUGCCUGGUAGCGGGGGAUAACUAUUGGAAACGAUAGCUAAUACCGCAUAAAAUUGAUUAUUGCAUGAUAGUCAAUUAAAAGGUGCAACUGCACCACUACCAGAUGGACCUGCGUUGUAUUAGCUAGUUGGUGGGGUAACGGCUCACCAAGGCGACGAUACAUAGCCGACCUGAGAGGGUGAUCGGCCACACUGGGACUGAGACACGGCCCAGACUCCUACGGGAGGCAGCAGUAGGGAAUCUUCGGCAAUGGACGGAAGUCUGACCGAGCAACGCCGCGUGAGUGAAGAAGGUUUUCGGAUCGUAAAGCUCUGUUGUAAGGGAAGAACGAGUGUGAGAGUGGAAAGUUCACACUGUGACGGUAUCUUACCAGAAAGGGACGGCUAACUACGUG
This 497-nucleotide ribosomal RNA is filed under the name uncultured bacterium. RNAcentral describes it as "partial 16S ribosomal RNA". It matches the Rfam family "Bacterial small subunit ribosomal RNA", at positions 28 to 507 of the family's 1533-position model. The record is from RNAcentral.